Molecule: ribosomal RNA, 250 nt
Filed under: uncultured bacterium
Lineage: Bacteria
Description: partial 16S ribosomal RNA
Rfam family: Bacterial small subunit ribosomal RNA
Source: RNAcentral
GCAAGUCGAGGGGUAAGGCUCACUUCGGUGAGUACACGACCGGCGCACGGGUGCGUAACGCGUAUGCAACCUACCUUUAACAGAGAGAUAGCCCCGAGAAAUCGGGAUUAAUAUCACAUAACAUCUUUUUAUGGCAUCAUAUGAAAGAUUAAAGCUCCGGCGGUAAGAGAUGGGCAUGCGUGACAUUAGUUAGUUGGUGAGGUAACGGCUCACCAAGACCACGAUGUCUAGGGGGUCUGAAAGGAUGAUC